UUAACAAGAUUUUGGAAUUGGAGACCAUAAUGAAGACUUGAAUGUGAAAGAAAGUGUCUCUAGUCCAAUUGACAUAGGAUUAAGAGUAGGAGUUGAUGUAGAAUUAGAUGCUGAAGAGAAGCUUAAACCAAAACUGAGGUCACGACAUGAGGAUGUGAAGUCGCGACUAUAUGAUAUGAUGUCACGACAAGAGAAACAAAGACAAAAUCAAGGCAUCCAAGUCAGUACGUCAUGUUGUGAAGAGACAAAUCUUGAUGUUGCGACGAGCUACCUUGAAGUCGUGACAACACUAAUUGAGGCUGCAAUGAGCUCUGAUGUACUAGCCCUGGUAAUUGAAAUCUAGAUACAAGGUCACGAUGAGUAGGAUUUUAAUGUCGUGACAGGGUGACAAAUUUAAAACUCUAUCAUCCCGAUGUUUGCAUUUAAACAGUGUAAGGCCCAAUUUUGGCCUGGGCCCUUGCAAACACAAAACAAACAAAAACCAAAGUGAAAAAUACAGAAAUAAAAACCCAAUAAUUAUUAUUAACAAUCCAUCAGUCUAAAAUUACUACAAUGGCCCAUAGUCCAUUUACAAACAAACCCAGACCCAAAGUUACAAGGCCCAAAUGGCCCAAAAGACUUUAGAAACAGAAACCCUAGGGUUUCUCUCCCUUGCGCCGCAGCCUUCAGCCACCGUACAGCCCCAACGCCGCUCGUGUCUCUCCGUCAACAGGCCGUACGCCAGCCUUACGCCUAGUGCCAGCGCCAUGCUCCCGUACCUGCAAAAAAAAAAAGACAAACAGAGCAGCAGCAAAUGGGAAAUAACGAAAGAAUUGUAUUUUUAUUUUUUUGAUUUUCUUUCUUUUCGGCUAUAAAGCCAAGGUUUUUAAUCUUUUUAACCGGUUACAAAAAACACGAUUUACGCACACAAAAAAAGGAUGCACAAAAAAGCAAUCAAAUAGCAGAGGUGAUUUCUUUUUUCCUCCAAAUCUCUUUAGCUUUCUAUGCAUUGUUUCGUUCUCUGUUUGGGUCAUUCACCAUUGUUAUAAAAAUAUAGAAAGAACGGUGACAGAGGAGCCUUACCGUGCGAGCAGGCCAUGGAUUUCUCCUCCUUUCUUCGUCGAAAUCGAAGUUGAGGAGGGAUUUCGGGCUAAGAUUCCUCCAGACGCAAAGAACCCCACCUGGUGAAGAUGAAUCGGCAUUGGAAGGAGAGAGUUUAAGGCUGACGAUUAGGGAGAGAGGCUAGGGUUCUUGAUUCGGCUGAAUAUGGUCUGGAUUGAGGCUUUUAAAGAAUAAAAAACGGCACCGUUUGGGCCUAUUUCAAUGGCUCCAAAACGGUUCCGUGUGAUUAUGCCCGACUCGAUCCGCCCCCUUUACCCUUGGGAUCCGCGUGUUUCUGUGGGGAGCAAUAAUUGCAACAUAAGUCCUCCUCUUUUGCGCUGUAUUUCAAUCAGCUAUUUUGUAUUUCUUUUGUUUUUUUUAAAUUCACCCUGUAAAUUUGCGCAUGAGUGCAAUUUAAUCCGCGCCUAAACACUGCGUUUUGAGAGCUGGAUUAUUUCCAGUCUAAGUCCUUACGCAUUUG
RNAcentral lists this long non-coding RNA (1561 nucleotides) under Gossypium barbadense (sea-island cotton). Its description in RNAcentral is "long non-coding RNA (GBAR_LNC001847)". Lineage: Eukaryota; Viridiplantae; Streptophyta; Magnoliopsida; Malvales; Malvaceae. The record is from RNAcentral.